AGAGAGAGACAUGCGCGCAUAUCAAUAAGCGGAGGAAAAGAAACUAACUAGGAUUCCCUCAGUAACGGCGAGUGAAGCGGGAAGAGCUCAAAUUUGAAAUCUUCAAGGUUCUACCUUGACGAAUUGUAGUUUAAAGAAGUGUUUUCUGUUGGAGUUUUGGUAAAAGUUCUUUGGAAUAGGACAUCAUAGAGGGUGAGAAUCCCGUAUUUGGUCAUUCCUCCUAGCGUUGUGAUACACUUUCAACGAGUCGGAUUGUUUGGGAAUGCAGUCCAAAAUGGGUGGUAAAUUUCAUCUGAAGCUAAAUAUUGGCGAGAGACCGAUAGCGAACAAGUACCGUGAGGGAAAGAUGAAAAGAACUUUGAAAAGAGAGUUAAACAGUACGUGAAAUUGUCAAAAGGGAAGCGUUUGACACCAGUGUUGUUUUUCCGAAAAUCAAUUACGAAUGUUUUGUUUUUGAGGAGUUAUGACUUCAUCGGCUUGCUUCUUUCUUUACGAAACUUUCUUAAUGCACUUUUCGGUUAACAAGUCAACAUCAAUUUCUUUUGUUGUAAAAGGGUAUGAGGAAGGUGGCUUUCUUUUCGGAGAAAGUGUUUAUAGCCUUGUGCCUCUGCAAUCGGAGAGAUUGAGGUCUGCAGCGUAGAUCCUUCGGGGUUAGAUACAUUUGUGCUAAGUUAUAGCCUUUCAUAGACAACUUGUUGACUAUGUUUAGUCUUGUAGCUUACUCGCUGACGCUAUUUUACCUACGCUUAGGAUGUUGAUAGUCACAGCGUGUAC
RNAcentral lists this ribosomal RNA (774 nucleotides) under uncultured Neocallimastigales. RNAcentral describes it as "partial large subunit ribosomal RNA". It matches the Rfam family "Eukaryotic large subunit ribosomal RNA", at positions 23 to 644 of the family's 3401-position model. Lineage: Eukaryota; Fungi; Neocallimastigomycota; Neocallimastigomycetes; Neocallimastigales. The record is from RNAcentral.